Molecule: ribosomal RNA, 542 nt
Rfam family: Bacterial small subunit ribosomal RNA
AUGCAAGUCGAGCGCAGGAAACCAGAUGACCCCUUCGGGGUGAUUCUGGUGGAAUGAGCGGCGGACGGGUGAGUAACACGUGGGCAACCUGCCUGUAAGACUGGGAUAACUUCGGGAAACCGGAGCUAAUACCGGAUAGUAUUUCCUUUCUCCUGAUUGGAAAUGGAAAGACGGUUUCGGCUGUCACUUACAGAUGGGCCCGCGGUGCAUUAGCUAGUUGGUGGGGUAAUGGCCCACCAAGGCGACGAUGCAUAGCCGACCUGAGAGGGUGAUCGGCCACACUGGGACUGAGACACGGCCCAGACUCCUACGGGAGGCAGCAGUAGGGAAUCUUCCGCAAUGGACGAAAGUCUGACGGAGCAACGCCGCGUGAGCGAUGAAGGCCUUCGGGUCGUAAAGCUCUGUUGUUAGGGAAGAACAAGUACGAGAGUAACUGCUCGUACCUUGACGGUACCUAACCAGAAAGCCCCGGCUAACUACGUGCCAGCAGCCGCGGUAAUACGUAGGGGGCAAGCGUUGUCCGGAAUUAUUGGGCGUAAAGG